UAGGGAAUCUUCGGCAAUGGGGGGAACCCUGACCGAGCAACGCCGCGUGAGUGAAGAAGGUUUUCGGAUCGUAAAGCUCUUUUGUUAAGGAAGAACGAGUGUGAGAAUGGAAAGUUCAUGCUGUGACGGUACUUAACCAGAAAGGGACGGCUAACUACGUGCCAGCAGCCGCGGUAAUACGUAGGUCCCGAGCGUUGUCCGGAUUUAUUGGGCGUAAAGCGAGCGCAGGCGGUUAGGAAAGUCUGAAGUGAAAGGCAGUGGCUCAACCAUUGUAGGCUUUGGAAACUGUUUAACUUGAGUGCAGAAGGGGAGAGUGGAAUUCCAUGUGUAGCGGUGAAAUGCGUAGGUGUAUGGAGGAACACCGGUGGCGAAAGCGGCUCUCUGGUCUGUAACUGACGCUGAGGCUCGAAAGCGUGGGGAGCGAACAGG
Molecule: ribosomal RNA, 429 nt
Filed under: Bacteroidota bacterium
Lineage: Bacteria; Pseudomonadati; Bacteroidota
Description: Bacteroidetes bacterium partial 16S ribosomal RNA
Rfam family: Bacterial small subunit ribosomal RNA
Source: RNAcentral